Molecule: long non-coding RNA, 461 nt
Filed under: Pan troglodytes (chimpanzee)
Lineage: Eukaryota; Metazoa; Chordata; Mammalia; Primates; Hominidae
Description: long non-coding RNA NONPTRT008269
Source: RNAcentral
GAAUGGGUGGACAGUUAGAGUAGUGAGUGAGUAGAUGGAUGGGUGACAGAGUAGUGAGUGAGUAGAUGGAUGGGUGAACAGUUAGAAGUAGUGAGUGAGUGGAUGGAUGGGUGGACAGUUAGAGUAGUGAGUGAGAAGAUGGAUGGGUGAACAGUUAGAGUAGUGAGUGAGUGGAUGGAUGGGUGGACAGUUAGAGUAGUGAGUGAGAAGAUGGAUGUGUGGACAGUUAGAGUAGUGAGUGAGUAGAUGGAUGGGUGAACAGUUAGAGUAGUGAGUGAGUAGAUGGAUGGGUGGACAGUUAGAGUAGUGAGUGAGUAGAUGGAUGGGUGGACAGUUAGAGUAGUGAGUGAGUAGAUGGAUGGGUGGCCAGUUAGAGCAGUGAGUGAGUGGAUGGAUGGGUGGACAGUUAGAGUAGUGAGUGAGUAGAUGGAUGGGUGGACAGUUAGAAUAGUGAGUGAGUG